UACGAAGGGGGCUAGCGUUGCUCGGAAUCACUGGGCGUAAAGGGCGCGUAGGCGGAUUGUUAAGUCAGAGGUGAAAGCCCAGGCUCAACCCUGGAAUUGCCUUUGAUACUGGCAAUCUUGAGACCGGAAGAGGUUAGUGGAACUGCGAGUGUAGAGGUGAAAUGCGUAGAUAUCUGAAGGAACAUCAGUGGCGAAAGCGACUUCCUGGACCGACACUGACGCUGAGGCGCGAAAGCUAGGGGAGCAAACGGG
RNAcentral lists this ribosomal RNA (252 nucleotides) under uncultured bacterium. RNAcentral's name for it is "partial 16S ribosomal RNA". It matches the Rfam family "Bacterial small subunit ribosomal RNA", at positions 524 to 776 of the family's 1533-position model. The record is from RNAcentral.